UACAGAAGGUGCGGGCGUUAAUCGGAAUUACUGGGCGUAAAGCGUGCGUAGGCGGUCGUGUAAGUCGGGUGUGAAAGCCCCGGGCUCAACCUGGGAAUUGCAUUCGAGACUGCACGGCUGGAGUGCGGAAGAGGGAAGCGGAAUUUCCGGUGUAGCGGUGAAAUGCGUAGAUAUCGGAAGGAAGAUCAGUGGCGAAAGCGGCUUCCUGGUCCAGCACUGACGCUCAGGAACGAAAGCGUGGUGAGCAAACAGG
RNAcentral lists this ribosomal RNA (253 nucleotides) under uncultured bacterium. RNAcentral's name for it is "partial 16S ribosomal RNA". It matches the Rfam family "Bacterial small subunit ribosomal RNA", at positions 524 to 776 of the family's 1533-position model. The record is from RNAcentral.